RNAcentral lists this transfer RNA (73 nucleotides) under Cordylochernes scorpioides. Its description in RNAcentral is "tRNA-Thr". It matches the Rfam family "tRNA". From Rfam's summary of the family: Transfer RNA (tRNA) molecules are approximately 80 nucleotides in length. Their secondary structure includes four short double-helical elements and three loops (D, anti-codon, and T loops). Further hydrogen bonds mediate the characteristic L-shaped molecular structure. tRNAs have two regions of fundamental functional importance: the anti-codon, which is responsible for specific mRNA codon recognition, and the 3' end, to which the tRNAs corresponding amino acid is attached (by aminoacyl-tRNA synthetases). tRNAs cope with the degeneracy of the genetic code in two manners: having more than one tRNA (with a specific anti-codon) for a particular amino acid; and 'wobble' base-pairing, i.e. permitting non-standard base-pairing at the 3rd anti-codon position. Lineage: Eukaryota; Metazoa; Arthropoda; Arachnida; Pseudoscorpiones; Chernetidae. The record is from RNAcentral.
UCCAGGGUAGCCUAGUGGACAUGGCAUCUGCCCGGUAAGCGGAACACUGUGGGUUCGAUUCCCCUCCCUGGAC